GCUAAUAACAUGGAACGGUACUGGACUCAACGAUGGUCCCAGUUUUCCUGAUGAAAGAUAUUUUACGUAAAAGAAGCAGGUACUUUAUUUCCACAUAAGGCCCUUAUUAACACAGGUCUGGUACUGUGUGUGUGAGACGCAUGGACACACACACACACACACACACACACACGUCAGUGUGUCCUGUUGAGUCUAGGCGACACCCGCUGUUUCUGUGACUCCACUAGUCAGUCAGUAGAGCUGCUGGGUCACACACACACAAGGGGGGCUGGAUGUUGUCAGGGGUUCCAGUAACCUGACUCUACCCCCAAGGUGCUGGGCAUACUUGCCCCCCUGUGCAACACACUAACACACUCAAUACACAUGGACACACUUACACACUCAAUACACACACGGACUUACACACACAAUAUACACACGGACACACACACUCAAUACACACACGGAGACACACAAACGGACACACUCAAUACACACACUGACACACACACACUGACACACACACGGAUAUACACACUCAAUACACACACGGAGACACACAAACGGACACACUCAAUACACACACUGACACACACACACUGACACACACACGGAUAUACACACACAAUACACACACGGACACACACACAUACACACACUGACACACACACGGACACACACUAAAUACACACAUACACACACACACGGACACACACACGGAUACACACACAUACACACUCAUUACACACACACACACACACACACGGACACACUCAAUACACACAGAUACACACUCAAUACACACACGGACACACACUAAAUACAUACACGGACACACACGGAUACACACACAUACACACUCAUUACACACACACACACACACACACGGACACACUCAAUACACACAGAUACACACUCAAUACACACACACACGGACACACACUCAAUACACACACACACGGACACACACUAAAUACACACACACACGGACACACACUAAAUACACACACACACACGGACACACACUAAAUACAAACACACACGGACACACACAAUACAGACACGGGCACACACAAUGGACACACUCCAUACACACACACACGGACACACACACGGAUACACACACAUACACACUCAUUACACACACACACACACACACACGGACACACUCAAUACACACAGAUACACACUCAAUACACACACACACGGACACACACUCAAUACACACACACACGGACACACACUCAAUACACACACACACGGGACACACACUAAAAAUACACACACACACGGACACACACUAAAUACACACACACACGGACACACACAAUACAGACACGGGCACACACUAAAUACACACACACACACGGACACACACUAAAUACACACACACACGGACACACACAAUACAGACACGGGCACACACUAAAUACACACACACACACACACUAAAUACACACACACACGGACACACACAAUACAGACACGGGCACACGCAAUGGACACACUCCAUACACACACGGACGGGGGACACACACCCUCAAUACACACAAACACCUCUGUCAGCCUCGAACUUCCCUGCUUAUGCACGCUAGACCCUUCCCACUGCCAAUAGGAGAGAGAGAAGAUAGUGAGGGUGUGUUCUCGAUCUCGACACAUCCACAGGAACCAGUGGUUUGCUGGAAGGGUCAGGGUCAAGGUGAGGGUUAUGGUAAUGGUCAGGGUCAAG
Oncorhynchus tshawytscha (Chinook salmon) is the source of this 1708-nucleotide long non-coding RNA. Lineage: Eukaryota; Metazoa; Chordata; Actinopteri; Salmoniformes; Salmonidae. The record is from Ensembl.